This is a long non-coding RNA of Tripterygium wilfordii, 1290 nucleotides long. RefSeq lists it as uncharacterized. Lineage: Eukaryota; Viridiplantae; Streptophyta; Magnoliopsida; Celastrales; Celastraceae. The transcript has 4 exons. The record is from RefSeq and is a predicted model, not a curated record.
UGAAAAUAAUUUAUGAUUGGAUAAGCGCCUUAAAAUGGUUAUGUAUUCACCUGCAAAUUCUCUAUCAUUAAUUAAUAUUCGAAUUCUAGAACUUCGCAUUAAUGCGCGCUAGCUCACUCUAUUAACCAAAUCAAACCCAACAUGCUCACUCUGUUUGUCUUUUAACUAGACGGAGAAAGUUUCAGAUGGAGAUCGACGCCGGUGUUGUCUCCGUCAGGUGUCUCACCCAGAGUCCCAGCAAAUGGAGGCCUUGCAGCAGCAAGAACCGAGGGUUGUGCGAUGUGAGUUUGAGAAGACGACAGUGGCAGCAACAAUGUGGCUGAAGGGUAACAACUUACCGGUAGUGACCCGAGUCUCGAAGCAGCGCCGGAGUUGCACCCUGUGAACCCGUUUGGAUGGAUGGAGGGGACUGAUGAUCCAACUAUACGUGAUCUUAGAACCGGUGCUAUAAAACGCCUACCAGGGUUCUCUGGUUUGGUGGCCAGGAUUUCAUCUUGCUUGGUCAGUAUAGAACCAAAAAGUUUCAGUUUUGAAGUGGGAUUGUGAUCGCACAUUGGUUUCUCUGGGGAGGACGAGAAUUUGGCGUGGAAUGAGCUCUCAGCCAUAUUUCUCAGAAGUGGACGUUCUGUUAGAUGAUUGAAACAUGAUGCCUUGUAUUUAUACACACAGGUUGUGGCAUUAGAGUUGCAUUUGGCGUACUUGGAAGGAAAAAUGGUAUGAAGGCAAGUGAUUAUAUCAAUAUGUGUGAAGGCAGGUCUCACUUUGGUUGGAAAUGCUUUUUCUCUUGGUGCAAACAUAAAGUACACAAAUACAAUUAUAUGAACCUGGUGAUUUGGAGAUCGUAUUAGACGAAGAUGAGAUGUCAAAUAUUUGAGGAGUAAUAUUUUUAUCAGGUUUUGCAUUGGACAUGUUUCGAAUGUUAAUCUCUUACUCCAUCUGCUCGAGUUGAUUACAUUGCACAGAACAGGAGUUAACCUAAUAGGAAAAAGCUGUCUCCUUUUCUCUAAUCAUCUGCAUCAUCAGCUAACGUGACCUUACUCAGCCUACUUGGCGACGCCAUGGCAUCGUUUGUUCUGACCUUUCUGUUUACACCGCGCUGGCUGCUUGAACCGUGAAGUGCUCUGUGCGCAAGUGCUUUUCCGUAGUGAUAAUCUUUUGUUUGAUUGCUGACAAGUGAUGGUGAUGGAUCAUUCAGGUGUUCUUGGAUGCCUUCUUUGUGGUUGUGGGUGCAUGUAACCACAGCACUUACUCUCUCAGUAGCCAUUUCAAGAAUGUAACGAUCUGUUGGGA